Molecule: ribosomal RNA, 329 nt
Filed under: uncultured Cercozoa
Lineage: Eukaryota; Cercozoa
Description: SSU rRNA
Rfam family: Eukaryotic small subunit ribosomal RNA (bases 119-329)
Source: RNAcentral
GAUUUCUGACGAAACUGCUAGCUGGCCCGCCACGCAAGUGUGUGAGUGCCGGCUUGGCGUUUGUCAUCCGUUCGAAUGAUAUGCGUGCUGCCCUUCACUGGGUUGGCGCUGCAUGUUUUCGAUCUUUUACUUUGAAAAAAUUAGAGUGUUUCAAGCAGGCGUUUUGCUAUGAAUACAUUAGCAUGGAAUAAUGAGUUAGGACUUCGGUUCUAUUUUGUUGGUUUCUAGGACUGAAGUAAUGAUUGAUAGGGAUAGUUGGGGGUGCUAGUAUUCAGCGGCCAGAGGUGAAAUUCUUGGAUUCGCUGAAGACUAACUUAUGCGAAAGCAUU